ACGUGGGUAACCUGCCCUCGAGUCUGGGAUAACUCGGGGAAACCCGGGCUAAUACCGGAUACGGCUGCGAAGCCCGAGGGCUUCGCGGAGAAAGAUGGCCUCUCCUUGGAAGCUAUCGCUCUUGGAUGGGCCCGCGUCCCAUUAGCUUGUUGGUGAGGUAACGGCUCACCAAGGCUCUGAUGGGUAGCUGGUCUGAGAGGAUGAUCAGCCACACUGGAACUGAGACACGGUCCAGACUCCUACGGGAGGCAGCAGUGGGGAAUUUUGGGCAAUGGGCGAAAGCCUGACCCAGCAACGCCG
This 300-nucleotide ribosomal RNA is filed under the name uncultured delta proteobacterium. RNAcentral describes it as "bacterial SSU rRNA". It matches the Rfam family "Bacterial small subunit ribosomal RNA", at positions 115 to 399 of the family's 1533-position model. Lineage: Bacteria; Deltaproteobacteria. The record is from RNAcentral.